This 583-nucleotide long non-coding RNA is filed under the name Callithrix jacchus (white-tufted-ear marmoset). RNAcentral's name for it is "lncRNA (ENSCJAG00000078563.1)". Lineage: Eukaryota; Metazoa; Chordata; Mammalia; Primates; Cebidae. The record is from RNAcentral.
UGCUGAUGUUUCCAGGAUUGCUAAGGGAAAGCCACACACGAUAGUUGCAUUUGCAGUUUUAAGUGGUCUAGCUCCUCUGUGACAGUUCAGCUCAGAGGCCAACCACUAGAGACCCGGGAAGAGUGAUUCGUUUGCCCAGUGCUUUCUCUGUCCAGCCUGAGGAACUGCCCUUUUGUCCAGGACUUCCCAGGCCAGAUGCAUAUACAAGGAAUGGCGAUUCCGUGAGUCCGGUGCUUCUGUGGACUCGAAAACCUGCAGAAGAAUGACGGUUCCCUGCGCAGGAGCUAAGCAGCAGUUAGUCAUUCUCUCCUUGCGGAGGACCUACUGUGUGUCCCGGGCUGCAAGUGGACAAACGACCAAAUGCCCUGGCCUCACGAAGCUGCUCCCCCAAUUCCCUGUGACUCGAUGCCGCGUCUGCUCCUCCAGGAUAUCUCUGUGGCCGAGCCUGGCACACAGUAGGUGCCCGGGAAAUGUGCUCAGGGAAAUGACGCCUAGGCGCACCCCAUAUUGGAUCUGUGGCGGGGGACGAGUGGGGACGAGGGGUGAAGGGGAGAAAGUCAGGAGUUGUGGGUUUGGGGGUAGC